AAUGCCCCUAGAGGCAUUGUAGCUGCCAUGCUGCAUGUUUGCCAGUAGGUGGCAGAAAGGAGAAAGGCUAUGUCUCAGCUCAGUGUUUUGACCUGUGAGCAUCAGAAUACUUAGCAGCCUAACACU
Small nucleolar RNA from Acomys russatus (golden spiny mouse), 126 nucleotides. RefSeq annotates it as small nucleolar RNA SNORA17. Lineage: Eukaryota; Metazoa; Chordata; Mammalia; Rodentia; Muridae. The record is from RefSeq and is a predicted model, not a curated record. The transcript has a single exon.